Molecule: ribosomal RNA, 216 nt
Filed under: Triticum aestivum (bread wheat)
Lineage: Eukaryota; Viridiplantae; Streptophyta; Magnoliopsida; Poales; Poaceae
Description: partial small subunit ribosomal RNA
Source: RNAcentral
AUGGUUCUUGCCUCCCUCUCUCCUCCCUCCUUGGAGCUUGUCCAUUCGUUGGGUGAUCCCUUGCUCUCACGUUCGAGUGUUUGCUCAUCGUUUAGGCCGGUGAGUUACAUUUUUGCUCAUUGCAGUCGCCUCCGGGGUUCUUCGCACCUGGGUAGUACCAGGACCCUUGUGCCCCGGACUGCACUGCCCGUCCUAUGACCCAAAACUCAAAAUUAG